ACACCCCAAAAAUACGACCCAAAAAUUUCGUUUUUUCAACAUAACCAAAAACCAUGAUCUGAGUGUCAUAUCAUAAACCAUACAUGAUGUGUCUCAAAAUAAAAACACUGUGCGGAAAACUGUAUCAUAUUCAUGUCAUAUAAAAAUCAAGAACCAAAUCAACUCCCAGGAUAAGAACUGAAGUUGUGGUGCGUGCGAUGCCAUCAUCCCGAGCUCUUCCCUCUACAAGCGCAAGUACCUGAAACCAAAACUGAAACUGUAAGCACGAAGCUUAGUGAGCUCCCCCAAAUUACCUCAUACCAUACAAUAAUAUAUCAAGCACAUACUGGGGCCUUGCCCCCUCCAUCGGACCAAAGUCCGAAGCUGACUGACUGGGACCUUGUCCCCUACAUCGGACCGGAGUCCGAAGCUCACAUCAGACCGAAGUCCGAAGCUGACCGGGACCUUGUCCCCUACAUCGAACCGAAGUCCGAAGCUGACAUCAGACCGAAGUCCGAAGCUGACCGGGACCUUGUCCCCUACAUCGAACCGAAGUCCGAAGCUGACUGAUCAUAUCAUAAACGUAUCACUUAACAUGAACACACAUAACCCUGUCUGAGCCACGAAGGCAACAAACAUGCUAACUACUGCAUCAGAUAAAAAUCCAGAUACUACUGCUAGCUAAACGGGCCGGCAUUGUGGCCUUAGACCCGUUCCUACUGAAAAGGGACUCACCUCGUGAACUGGCUGCUGAGUAAAAAGCUCUGAGGGCUAACUGCUGCUGCUCCGGUAUCUCCCCGGCUACAAGUCCAUAAACACACUCAAUCAAAUACUAAACACUGCACUGGGUAAAAUGACUCUUUUACCCUUGGUCAAAGUCAACCCUCGGACAAAGUCAACCCACAGUUGACCUGACUCGCCGAGUUGGGCCGCCAACUCGCCGAGUCCCUGUUUUCAUCCCUCGACCCUACUCGCUGCUACUCGUCGAGUAUGGCAUCGACUCGACGAGUACUCAUUCGAUCCAAGAACUCAGACAAUCUUCAUCCGACUCGCCGAGUCAUAUGAACAACUCGACGAGUUGUUCU
Molecule: long non-coding RNA, 1064 nt
Filed under: Lactuca sativa (garden lettuce)
Lineage: Eukaryota; Viridiplantae; Streptophyta; Magnoliopsida; Asterales; Asteraceae
Description: long non-coding RNA (LSAT_LNC009117)
Source: RNAcentral